ACCCGCUGAAUUUAAGCAUAUAAGUAGGCGGCGGAUAAGAAUCUCGCGAGGACCCCUUUAGCAAUGGCGAAUGCAGCAGGGCAGGCUCAAACUGGAAAUCGGAGCAACUUGCCAUGAAUUGUAGGGAAGCGAUGUGCUACCAGUUGAGAUGCAGUAGUACGCCACUGGAAAAGAGCAUAGAAAAGGGUGACAAUCCUGUGUGUCGUCUGCAGCCUUCAGUGCACGGUUUAUCUUCUAUGAGUCAUGCACCUUGGGAAUAGUGCGUGAAACAGGUGGUACAAUUCAUGGAAAGCAGUAUCUGUGUUCGAGACCCAUAGCGAACAAGUACCAUGAGGGAAAGGUGAAACAGUACUCUGUAAAGAGAGGUAACAGUGUCUGAACCUGCUGGAUGGGACAUGGAUGGCACCAGUGUAGCCUGGCGAGAUUGCUGUGUGCACGUGUGAUUGCCUGCUGCAUGUAGCAAUGAUGCAUUAGGUCUGAUGCAAACCUGCACACAGUGUCACUACAUGGCCAGCCAUUGCCAGUGCAUUGCAUUAGACCACCACUGGGACUUAUGGCAGCCUGCCUCGGCGUGGGCGAACACUUCUGUCCAACUUGUGCAUGCCCUGCUCGGAACACUGCGUCGGCCCAUUCAUCCCGUCUUGAAACACGGACCAAGGAGUCUAGCAUGCCUGCGAGCUCAUGGGUGGCAACCAUCUAUGAUUGCACAACGAAAAUAUUGGUUGGUAUAUGUGCACCGACAACAAACUUUUUCGCUGAUGGAGAGUGUGGGUGUGAGCGCUCCUGCUAGAACCCGAAAGAUGGUGAGCUAUGCCUGUGGAAGGCAAAACCAGGGGAAACUCUGGCGGACGCCUGUAGCGGUACUGACGUGCAAAUCGUUCGUUGCACAUGGGCAUGGGGGGCGAAAGACUAAUCGAACCAUCUAGUAGCUGGUUCCCUCCGAAGUUUUCCUCAGGAUAGCUAGAGUUGAUCAAUGUUCAGCAGGUAAAGCAAAUGAUUAGAUGCAUUGGGGGCUCGCCGCCUUUAACCUAUUCUCAAACUCUAAAUGUGUAAGGCCUGGUUGUUGUUUGUGUGAACGUCUGGGAAAGGGGGAGUGUUGCCUCUGUGUGGGCCAUUUUUGGUAAGCAGAACUGGUGAUGAGGGAUGAACCUAAUGUUGGGUGCAUGUGCUUAGCUGCCUACUCAUCCGAUACCAUAAAGGGUGUUGGUCCAUUUGAACAGCAGGACGGUGGUCAUGGAAGUUGAAAUCCGCUGAGGAGUGUGUAAUAACUCACCUGCCGAAUGGACUGGCCCCGAAAAUGGAUGGCGCUCAAGUGGGUGAUUGACAUCCAACCAACAUUGUACAUGUGUUGCAUUCAUGGGUAGGAGGGCAUUGGGAUUCAUAAUGAAAUUUGCCGCGUAGGCUUGGGUGAAAUGGUCCCGCUUGUGCAGAUCUUGGUGGUAGUAGCA
This 1448-nucleotide ribosomal RNA is filed under the name Protoperidinium crassipes. RNAcentral describes it as "LSU rRNA". It matches the Rfam family "Eukaryotic large subunit ribosomal RNA", at positions 23 to 1465 of the family's 3401-position model. The record is from RNAcentral. Lineage: Eukaryota; Dinophyceae; Peridiniales; Protoperidiniaceae.